AGGCCCCCACCGUGAGUGCAGCCUGUUACUUAAUUUCACUCAGCACGAACUAACUCACCCGGGCCGGAGACCGGAUGGAUUGACUGACUGAUCUUUCUUUCUUAAUUGGGUGGGGGGGGGUGCAUGGCCGUUCUUGGUGGGGGGAUUUAUUUGUCUGGUUAAUUCCAAUAACGAAACACAGUCUGGUCUAUUAAACGGUGUAUCCUGCUCGAGUACCGAUUCUUACUUCGGACAGGGACAAGCGGGGCCCAUGCGAAUGAAAUAUAACAAUACUGUGAUUGCCAUGCCCUUACAUGGCUGGGGCUGCGCGCCCGUUACACAGAAAGAAUGAGAGUGCGCCGAGAACCAAGACCCGAAGGACCGAGGAACACUCUUUCAUGCUUGCGAGCGUGAAAUGCGAAAUUGUAAUUAUUUCCCUUAAACCACGAAUUCCGCGUAAAUGCGGCUCAUAAGCUCUCGUUGAUUGCCUCCCUGCCCUUUGUACACACCGUCCGUCGCUACUACCGAUUGAAUGACUCA
RNAcentral lists this ribosomal RNA (519 nucleotides) under uncultured eukaryote. Its description in RNAcentral is "bacterial SSU rRNA". It matches the Rfam family "Eukaryotic small subunit ribosomal RNA", at positions 1161 to 1700 of the family's 1831-position model. The record is from RNAcentral.